This 254-nucleotide ribosomal RNA is filed under the name uncultured bacterium. Its description in RNAcentral is "partial 16S ribosomal RNA". It matches the Rfam family "Bacterial small subunit ribosomal RNA", at positions 524 to 776 of the family's 1533-position model. The record is from RNAcentral.
UACGGGGGGGGGCAAGCGUUGUUCGGAAUUACUGGGCGUAAAGGGCUCGUAGGCGGCCAACUAAGUCGGACGUGAAAUCCCUCGGCUUAACCGGGGAACUGCGUCCGAUACUGGAUGGCUUGAGUUCGGGAGAGGGAUGCGGAAUUCCAGGUGUAGCGGUGAAAUGCGUAGAUAUCUGGAGGAACACCGGUGGCGAAGGCGGCAUCCUGGACCGACACUGACGCUGAGGAGCGAAAGCCAGGGGAGCAAACAGG